AGUGGAAGUGUCCCUUUAACAGCGGCUGGCCUGGCCUGGCUCGGGCCCUGCUUUGCCUCCUGUUCAGCUGUGACUGCAGCUACCAUGCUGACUCAUGUGCCUGCAGCUAGCAAGAGCUGGCAGCAUGGGCUCCCCAGGGGCUACGACAGGCUGGAGGCUUCUGGAUUAUAAGACAGAGAAGUGGGCUCUCCUCGCCAAAAAAGGCUACCAGGACCGGGAUCUUGACCCCCAGAUUUCUGUCAUCACCAAACUCAAAGGGAAGUGGCCGACUUGGUGAAGCCGCCUCAGGGAGAAAACGUGUUCUUCUUGGUGACCAACUUCCUUGUGACGCCAGCCCAAGUUCAGGGCAGAUGCCCAGAGGCUGCUCCCAAACUCCUGGACUCAAUCGAUCUUCCUCCCUCAGCCUCCCAAAGUGCUGAGAUUACAGGUAUGAGCCACCAAGGCCAGCCCAGGACACGCUUCUUGAGAGACACAGAUACAGGGUCUUGCUAUGUUGCCUCCUAGGUUCAAGCCAUCCUCCCAACUCAGCUUCC
This is a long non-coding RNA of Rhinopithecus roxellana (golden snub-nosed monkey), 533 nucleotides long. RefSeq lists it as uncharacterized. The transcript is spliced from 5 exons. The record is from RefSeq and is a predicted model, not a curated record. Lineage: Eukaryota; Metazoa; Chordata; Mammalia; Primates; Cercopithecidae.